GGGGCGGUAGCUCAGCUGGUCAGAGCAGGAGACUCAUAAUCUCCCGGUCGCGGGUUCGAGUCCCGCCCGCCCUAC
RNAcentral lists this transfer RNA (75 nucleotides) under Actinomadura citrea. RNAcentral's name for it is "tRNA-Met". It matches the Rfam family "tRNA". Rfam says of the family: Transfer RNA (tRNA) molecules are approximately 80 nucleotides in length. Lineage: Bacteria; Bacillati; Actinomycetota; Actinomycetes; Streptosporangiales; Thermomonosporaceae. RNAcentral also lists the same sequence under 3 other names. The record is from RNAcentral.